GCGCCUGUAGCUCAGCGGAUAGAGCGCUGGUCUCCGGAACCAGAGGUCGGGCGUUCGAAUCGCCCCAGGCGCGCCA
This 76-nucleotide transfer RNA is filed under the name Acidobacteriota bacterium. RNAcentral's name for it is "Acidobacteria bacterium (sediment metagenome) tRNA-Arg". It matches the Rfam family "tRNA". From Rfam's summary of the family: Transfer RNA (tRNA) molecules are approximately 80 nucleotides in length. Their secondary structure includes four short double-helical elements and three loops (D, anti-codon, and T loops). The record is from RNAcentral. Lineage: Bacteria; Pseudomonadati; Acidobacteriota. RNAcentral also lists the same sequence under 2 other names.